CGUAGGGUGCGAGCGUUAAUCGGAAUUACUGGGCGUAAAGCGUGCGCAGGCGGUUGUGUAAGACAGGUGUGAAAUCCCCGGGCUUAACCUGGGAACUGCGCUUGUGACUGCACGGCUAGAGUAUGGCAGAGGGGGGUGGAAUUCCACGUGUAGCAGUGAAAUGCGUAGAGAUGUGGAGGAACACCGAUGGCGAAGGCAGCCCCCUGGGCCAAUACUGACGCUCAUGCACGAAAGCGUGGGGAGCAAACAGGAUU
Molecule: ribosomal RNA, 254 nt
Filed under: uncultured bacterium
Lineage: Bacteria
Description: partial 16S ribosomal RNA
Rfam family: Bacterial small subunit ribosomal RNA
Source: RNAcentral